AGGAAGGUCUGAGAUGCUGCAUUUAAAGAAUAGAAAAGAAAAGUCAAUGAAUUUUAAUUUUUUUUUUUUUUUUUUUUUAUAAUUCUUAUGAAUUAAAAAGAAAGAAAAAAAAAGUUAUAACAUUCGUUGUUACUUUUUAUUUCACAUAUAUAUAUAUAUAUUCUUUAAUAAAAUUUUUGAGAGAAAAAGUAUUGAACAAAUAUUAAUUAGUUACCAGAAAUAUCAAUCAUAUAUUUAAAAUUUCGUAAGAAGUUUUGUGUAUGGUUUUGAAAAAGCUAAUAAGCAAGUAU
RNAcentral lists this ribozyme (290 nucleotides) under Plasmodium falciparum MaliPS096_E11. RNAcentral describes it as "Plasmodium RNase_P". It matches the Rfam family "Plasmodium RNase_P", at positions 194 to 486 of the family's 626-position model. Lineage: Eukaryota; Apicomplexa; Aconoidasida; Haemosporida; Plasmodiidae. The record is from Rfam by way of RNAcentral.